UACGGAGGGAGCUAGCGUUGUUCGGAAUUACUGGGCGUAAAGCGCACGUAGGCGGCUUUGUAAGUUAGAGGUGAAAGCCCGGAGCUCAACUCCGGAAUUGCCUUUAAGACUGCAUCGCUUGAAUCCAGGAGAGGUGAGUGGAAUUCCGAGUGUAGAGGUGAAAUUCGUAGAUAUUCGGAAGAACACCCGUGGCGAAGGCGGUUCUCUGGGACGGUACUGACGCUGAGACGCGAAAGCGUGGGGAGCGAACAGG
Molecule: ribosomal RNA, 253 nt
Filed under: uncultured bacterium
Lineage: Bacteria
Description: partial 16S ribosomal RNA
Rfam family: Bacterial small subunit ribosomal RNA
Source: RNAcentral